Acanthochromis polyacanthus (spiny chromis) is the source of this 933-nucleotide long non-coding RNA. RefSeq lists it as uncharacterized. The record is from RefSeq and is a predicted model, not a curated record. The transcript has 2 exons. NCBI's taxonomy places the organism in Eukaryota, Metazoa, Chordata, Actinopteri, Pomacentridae.
GUGACAGUUGCAGUUCUGGCCGAAAGACAUCAACUGACAUUAUCGGAGGCUUUAGAAAGGUUCAGAAGGGGUCCACAAUAUGAACCAUGUGAGAUGAAAAUGUUGGGAAACAGCAUGAUGAAAAACCUGUCGGAGGAGGGAAGAGUAAAGCUGAAAGCUUUUGAAAAAAAAAAAGAAAACAGCCCUCUCCCCUGAGGCAUUCCUCCAGAGACUUUAGAUUUUUCAUCCUACUGUUAUGGUUAUGGUCCUGCUCCUGCCCUACGCAUGUUUUUGGACCCUUGCUGCUUUUUCCCCUUCAUGGAUUUUCCCCCUUGGACUCUGUCUUUGGAUUACCUCAGUUUGUGUUUGUUGCUUCGUUUGAGUUCCUCUGUUGUGUGAUUACUUCUCCUCUGCUUUGUUGUAUCAAGCCGUGUAGCGCCACAGCAUUAGUUAAUUUGGUUUUUGCCCUGCUGCCCUAGUUCUAGUCGCUGUAGUUGUGUUUUUGGAGUUUUUGUUAAAUGAAACCCUUUUUCAUUACCACCUUUUGCCUGUCUGUUUGCCUGCGCUUGGGUUCUCCAACCCAAAACCUAACACCUACACACACUCGUACAUCACUACUUUGUUGUACUUUGUUUUACUCUAUAUUUUUAUCCAAAAAGGUUCAUUUGUUUAUUUGUCUUUUGGAUAUUAGAUUUCAUUUUUCAAAUUAGAAUGUUGACAGGAGCAUGUGCCAGUGGAUGCAAUGAGCUCUUAAUCAACUUUGUUUCUCAGCAGAGCAACACAUUGAAAAGGUGAUGAUUCACUUCAAUUGUCAUGGUUUUAAAGCUCUGGCUGACUAUCAUUCUUCAUCACUAAAUGAAUGUAGUUACCUGACUAUGAAAUUCAAAAGCAGUCUUGUGUAUGUUGUUGACUGUUCACAUCAUCCAACCAAAUAAAGUCUGACACAAAAUGUUA